AGUGGUCCCAGGAUUGGUGGCACAACCUUCAACCUUAGCUCUCAGGAGGCUGAGGUGGUAGAUCUUUGUAAGUUUGAGGCCAACCUGGUCUACACAGAGAGCUCUAAGUCAGCCAAGGCUACACAGAAAUGUUGUCUCAAACAAAAACCAAACCCCAGGAUGAGGCUGUGAAUUUGUGAGGCAGAAUCUACAGGCAAUGAAUGAGUGGCGACCCCAGGCAACUAAGAAAUUUGUUCCAUGCCCCACAGCUUGUGAGUGUGAAACUCCAUGGAUGUGAAAUGUAGCUUGUAACUUCACACCUUCACUGGGGUAGCACACUGACCUGAAGCUCAAGACCACAUGAAACCCUACAGACUCCGGUCCUCCCUGCUCCCUGUUCCUCUACGUCGCCGCUGACUCUGUUUCAGUUUCCACCUGGUCUCCAGCAUGAGCUUUAGACAGCAGUCACUCUGACUCUGGAGCCCAACCGAAACUGACCAGAUCAAUUGGCUUUCAGAAACGGGAAUGUGACAAGUGACACCAACUAAACCUCCUCUAGAGACUGUGCCACGUGCAUAGAAAGACACACUGUAGAGCGAGGGGGACAGAGUUAUGCCCGGGUUCUCUGGACCGUAGCUUUGGA
Arvicanthis niloticus (Nile rat) is the source of this 622-nucleotide non-coding RNA. The record is from RefSeq and is a predicted model, not a curated record. NCBI's taxonomy places the organism in Eukaryota, Metazoa, Chordata, Mammalia, Rodentia, Muridae.